UAGGUUUUAAUUGGUGAACAGGACCCAAAUGUAGACAGAACACAGAGACAGGAGUGUGAAUUAACAGGUUUAUUUAAAGUACUCAAGUAUCAAGUCUAGAUUUUUGAGGGGGAAAAGCACAUUCAGGUUUCCCGGGUGAA
Long non-coding RNA from Etheostoma spectabile (orangethroat darter), 140 nucleotides. RefSeq lists it as uncharacterized. The record is from RefSeq and is a predicted model, not a curated record. The transcript is spliced from 3 exons. Lineage: Eukaryota; Metazoa; Chordata; Actinopteri; Perciformes; Percidae.